AGAGGGUUGGGGAAGAGGAAUUGGGCCUUGAUAUUAGACGUGGUGCACCGACUGGGAGGGUUGGAAAACUGGGGGGAGUUGGCACGAACUCCAAGGACCACAGCGUCCCAGGGCAUACUGGCGGGAGUGGGCUUACCUUUGCUGCUAACUAAUGUGGGUUAUCUCUUAAAGUAUAGACAAACUCUCCAAGAUUUAACUUCUGUAGAAACCUGCACCAAAGAAGACGCGAGGAUGUGUCCAGCGCACGUGAAGUCCAAGGAAUGUCAGCUAUGUUGAUCUCGGUGUUACACCUGACCCUAACGCGUGCCUGAGUUGAUUUCUGCAGCUGCACCAUUUAUGACCCGCUGGCUCAAAAAAAAAAAAAAAAAAAACAAAAACAAAAACCAAAAAACAAAAAAAAAAAAAAAAAAAAAACCCUGACUACUCCGUUGACUAGACAGUCUCCUCGGGAAGCCGACAGGAGCUACCAGCUGGAGCUGACUGCCUAGCACCCUAGGCAAGAGGUCACAGUGGCGACUGCUCGAGCAACUCAAAGGAAGGUGGGGAGGAAAGGAAAACACAAUCCAAAUUUACAAAUUUUGGAAAGCCUUUUGCCUAACUUGGAUCGCCAGGCAGUAUUGGCGGGCUCAAGGCUCAGAGCGGACCGACCGCGGUCUUGAUGGUAGAGCCUCUGGCCGAUGCUUGUGUGCGCGCGAGAACCCUGGCUUCAAGGCUGCUCUCGCUGUUGCUUUUUAGUUACUUUCCAAAAGAGCCUAAUUUCGAUUUCCCCGCUAGCCUGAGCUGCUCGGGAGACUUUCUCCACCUCGCUGAUGGCUGCCUCUCCCCCUCCGCCAAGGCCGGAUCUGGGCGGUCCAUUCCCGUGUAUCUCCUUGGAACCUCUCUGGGGAAAGGGGUGGUGAACAACUCCCAGCUGCCGGUUCCAUUUGUUGCGCCUUUUUCCUUCGACACAAUAAAAGUCAAAUUAAUUGAUUCA
RNAcentral lists this small RNA (973 nucleotides) under Rattus norvegicus (Norway rat). RNAcentral's name for it is "uncharacterized LOC102556374". The record is from RNAcentral. Lineage: Eukaryota; Metazoa; Chordata; Mammalia; Rodentia; Muridae.